GAAUUCACUAGUGAUUCAGGCCUAACACAUGCAAGUCGAGCGGUAGAGAGAAGCUUGCUUCUCUUGAGAGCGGCGGACGGGUGAGUAAUGCCUAGGAAUCUGCCUGGUAGUGGGGGAUAACGUCCGGAAACGGACGCUAAUACCGCAUACGUCCUACGGGGGAAAGCAGGGGACCUUCGGGCCUUGCGCUAUCAGAUGAGCCUAGGUCGGAUUAGCUAGUUGGUGGGGUAAUGGCUCACCAAGGCGACGAUCCGUAACUGGUCUGAGAGGAUGAUCAGUCACACUGGAACUGAGACACGGUCCAGACUCCUACGGGAGGCAGCAGUGGGGAAUAUUGGACAAUGGGCGAAAGCCUGAUCCAGCAAGGCCGCGUGUGUGAAGAAGGUCUUCGGAUUGUAAAGCAAUGGAAGUUGGGAGGAAGGGCAGUAAAUUAAUACUUUGCUGUUCGACGUACCGACAGAAUAAGCCCC
Molecule: ribosomal RNA, 470 nt
Filed under: uncultured bacterium
Lineage: Bacteria
Description: bacterial SSU rRNA
Rfam family: Bacterial small subunit ribosomal RNA
Source: RNAcentral